CCUACGGGCGGCAGCAGUGGGGAAUAUUGGACAAUGGGGGCAACCCUGAUCCAGCCAUGCCGCGUGUGUGAAGAAGGCCCUCGGGUUGUAAAGCACUUUCAGUGAGGAAGAACGCCUGGUGGUUAAUACCCAUCAGGAAAGACAUCACUCACAGAAGAAGCACCGGCUAACUCCGUGCCAGCAGCCGCGGUAAUACGGAGGGUGCGAGCGUUAAUCGGAAUUACUGGGCGUAAAGCGCGCGUAGGUGGCUUGAUAAGCCGGUUGUGAAAGCCCCGGGCUCAACCUGGGAACGGCAUCCGGAACUGUCAAGCUAGAGUGCAGGAGAGGAAGGUAGAAUUCCCGGUGUAGCGGUGAAAUGCGUAGAGAUCGGGAGGAAUAACAGUGGCGAAGGCGGCCUUCUGGACUGACACUGACACUGAGGUGCGAAAGCGUGGGUAGCAAACAGGAUUAGAUACCCGAGUAGUC
RNAcentral lists this ribosomal RNA (465 nucleotides) under Vreelandella stevensii. Its description in RNAcentral is "partial 16S ribosomal RNA". It matches the Rfam family "Bacterial small subunit ribosomal RNA", at positions 338 to 795 of the family's 1533-position model. The record is from RNAcentral. Lineage: Bacteria; Pseudomonadati; Pseudomonadota; Gammaproteobacteria; Oceanospirillales; Halomonadaceae.